Molecule: ribosomal RNA, 3066 nt
Filed under: Candidatus Bathyarchaeota archaeon
Lineage: Archaea; Thermoproteati; Candidatus Bathyarchaeota
Description: 23S ribosomal RNA
Rfam family: Archaeal large subunit ribosomal RNA
Source: RNAcentral
AAGCUCGAUGCGCUACGCCGCCUGAUGGAUGGCUCGGCUCGGGCGCCGAAGAAGGGCGUGGCAAGCUGCGAUAAGCCCCGGGUAGGCGCAUGCAGCCUUCGAUCCGGGGAUUCCCGAAUGGGACUUCCUGCCGUGAUAAACUCACGGCGCUCCCUUUUGGGAGCGGGAACCCCCCGAACGGAAACAUCCAAGUAGGGGGAGGAGAAGAAACCAACAUGGGAUUCCCUGAGUAGCGGCGAGCGAAAGGGGAAAAGCCCAAACCGAAGCUAAACGGGAAACCGUUUAGAAAUGUGGAGUAGAAGGGACCGACCGCACCCCCUCUCGCGAAGCCGAAGUGGCCUGGAAUGGCCCGACAUAGAGGGUGAAAUCCCCGUAGGCGUAAGCGAGAUGGGUUUGGGUCGGUAUCCCUGAGUACCACGCCUUUGCUCUGGCGUGGGAAGCUGGGAGAAAACAACUUCCAAGGCUAAAUACGUCCCGAGACCGAUAGCGUACUAGUACCGUGAGGGAAAGCUGAAAAGUACCCCGGAAGGGGGGUGAAAAGAGCCUGAAAUCAGGCGGUUACAGACGUGCGUGGUCCGAAAGGGUAGAUCCCUUCCAAAGGAAACCGUGGUGACACGGGAGUACGAGGAAGGGGGACCAGGAUCACGCGUUCCGUUUUGUACCACGGGCCGGGGAGUUCAUCCCCGUGGUGAGGCUAAGGGGGUUAAACCCGAAGCCGUAGGGAAACCGAUAUGCCCGCAGCAUCCAUUAAGGGUGCGAGGGGCAAGGUCUGAAAGGGCCUGGAAUCACGGGGAUGAAACUAGAAACCGGGCGAUCUAGCCCUGGGCAGGGCGAAGCCAGGCGAAAGCCUGGUGGAGGCCCGAAAGGGUGCUGACGUGCAAUUCGUUCCCCAGACCUGGGGCUAGGGGCUAAAGACCAAUCUAGCCCGGUGAUAGCUAGUUCCCGCCGAAAUAUCUCGCAGGAUAGCCCGGCCAGAGGUGGCUGAUGGGGUAGAGCACUAAUUGGGAAGCAAGGGGUCGAAAGGCUCCACUUCCCAGUUAAACUCCGAAUCCAUCAGCACCGUAGAAGGCCGGAGACGGGCGUGGGGGGUAAGCUCCCACGUCGCGAGGGGAACAACCCAAACUAGGGUUAAGGCCCCAAAAUCCUGGCUAAGUGCAGAAAUGGAAGGAGGUCCUCAGCCUAAGACAGCUGGGAGGUAGGCUUAGAAGCAGCCAUCCUCUAAGCAGUGCGUAACAGCUGACCAGCCGAGGCUGAGGGCGCCGAAAAUGGACGGGGCUAAGCCAGGUGCCGAUACCCUAGGUUGCAGCUCAUAUGAGCUGCAGCGGUAGGCGGGCGUUGCGGUUGGGCGGAAGCUGGGCCGUAAGGUCCAGUGGACCGACCGCAAGUGCAGAUCCCGGCGGUAGUAGCAGCGAAGAGGGGUGAGAAUCCCCUCCGCCGUAGGGGCCAGGGUUCCCCGGCAAUGCGUCGUCAGCCGGGGGUAAGUCGGUCCUAAGGUGGCCCUUAACCGGAGCCACCGAAAGGGAAGCUGGUUAAUAUUCCAGCACCGCGGAGAUACGUGCGGCAACGCAAGCCUGCAACCUGACGCUUCAGGAUAGGUUGAGUGGGGCCGUCGCCCCAUUUAACCGCUGAAACCCAGGAAGUGCCGUAAUGGCGAGAACUGGGUGAAGGCGGGAAUAGCCGCCCGUUUUUAGGGUGGUUCAACCGAUUCCUGGAGCCACGGAAAAAGGUUGCAGGAAGGAUUCUCCGCGCCCGUACCUAGAACCGACACAGGUGCCCCUAGGUGAGAAGCCUCAGGCGUAUCGGGUGGAACCCGGGCGAGGGAACUCGGCAAAUUGGCCCCGUAACUUCGGGAUAAGGGGUGCCUGAAACUCUAACCUUAAGGUUGGGGUUUCAGGUCGCAGUGACAAGGGGGGCGCGACUGUUUAAUAAAAACAUAGGUGGCCGCUAGCCCGAAAGGGUUUGUACGGCCAUUGAGUCCUGGCCAGUGGCGGUACCUGAAACCCGGGUUCAACCGGGCUAAGGGCCGCUAAACGCCGGGAGUAACUCUGACUCUCUUAAGGUAGCCAAAUGCCUUGUCGGGUAAGUUCCGACGUGCAUGAAUGGAUUAACGACGUCCCCGCUGUCCCCGCCCGGGGCCCGGCGAACCCACAUAACUUGGACGAACAGUCCAGGGUCUCCCAGCGGGGCGAGAAGUCCCCGUGGAGUUUUACUGCAGCCUGUCGCUGGGGUGCGGUUGUGGGUACAGAGCGUAGGUGGGAGCCGUCGAGGCCAGCCUCUCCGGGGGCUGGUGGAGGCGCCAAUGGAACACCACCUACCCAUGACUGCAUCCCUAACCAAGCGUAAGCUUGGGACAACGGCAGGUGGGCAGUUUGGCUGGGGCGGCACCCCCUUGAAAAGAUAUCAAGGGGGCCCUAAGCUCGGCUCAUCCGGGACAGAAACCCGGAGUAGAGGGCAAGGCCAAAAGCCGGGCUGACUGGAUCCUCCAAAGCAAGGGAUCCAGAGGCGAAAGCCGGGCCUAGCGAUCAUUCAUGUCCCCAUUGUUGGGGGCUGGAUGUGACAGAAAAAUUACCCCGGGAGUAAUUGGCUCGUCUCCCCCGAGAGUCCCCAUCGACGGGGAGGAUUGGUACUCCGCCGUCGUCCGUUCCCAUCCUGGGUCUGCAGCAGGACCCAAGGGUGCGGCUGUUCGCCGAUUAAAGGGGAAUCCGAGAUGGGUUUAGUCCGUCGCGAGACAGGACGGAUUCUACCUGCUGGGAGUGCUGGCCGCCUGAGGGGAAGGCGCCCCUAGUACGAGAGGAACGGGGUGUCGCAGCCUCUAGUUUACCGGUUGUCCGACAGGGCACUGCCGGGCAGCCACGCUGUUGGGGAUAAGAGCUGAAAGCAUCUAAGCCCGAAGCCCCUCCCGAAAAUAGGCGGCCGUUCCAGCUCGUUUCUAGACCUGGCAACAGGCCUAGAGAGCUGGAGGAGGGCACCCAUAGAAGAUGGGGUUGAUGGAGCAGGGGUGUACGCGCCAAGGCUUCGGCCGAGGCGUUUAGCCCGCUGCCCCCAAUAGCCCAACGUAUCGAGCUG